Molecule: unclassified non-coding RNA, 346 nt
Filed under: soil metagenome
Description: partial contains 5.8S ribosomal RNA, internal transcribed spacer 2, and large subunit ribosomal RNA
Rfam family: 5.8S ribosomal RNA (bases 1-120)
Source: RNAcentral
GAUGAAGAACGUAGCGAAAUGCGAUAAGUAAUGUGAAUUGCAGAAUUCCGUGAAUCAUCGAAUCUUUGAACGCACAUUGCGCCCCCUGGUAUUCCGGGGGGCAUGCCUGUCCGAGCGUCAUUGCUGCCCUCAAGCACGGCUUGUGUGUUGGGCCCCGUCCUCCGAUCCCGGGGGACGGGCCCGAAAGGCAGCGGCGGCACCGCGUCCGGUCCUCGAGCGUAUGGGGCUUUGUCACCCGCUCUGUAGGCCCGGCCGGCGCUUGCCGAUCAACCCAAAUUUUUAUCCAGGUUGACCUCGAAUCAGGUAGGGAUACCCGCUGAACUUAAGCAUAUCAAUAAGCGGAGGA